RNAcentral lists this ribosomal RNA (253 nucleotides) under uncultured bacterium. Its description in RNAcentral is "partial 16S ribosomal RNA". It matches the Rfam family "Archaeal small subunit ribosomal RNA", at positions 474 to 727 of the family's 1478-position model. The record is from RNAcentral.
UACCAGCACCCCGAGUGGUCGGGACGUUUAUUGGGCCUAAAGCAUGCGUAGCCGGUUCUACGAGUCUUCCGUUAAAUCCAACUGCUUAACAGGUGGGCUGCGGAAGAUACUAUAGAGCUAGGAGGCGGGAGAGGCAAGCGGUACUCGAUGGGUAGGGGUAAAAUCCGUUGAUCCAUUGAAGACCACCAGUGGCGAAGGCGGCUUGCCAGAACGCGCUCGACGGUGAGGGAUGAAAGCUGGGGGAGCAAACCGG